GAUGAACGCUGGCGGCGUGCCUAAUACAUGCAAGUCGAGCGAACGGACGAGAAUCUUUCUUCUCUGAUGUUAGCGGCGGACGGGUGAGUAACACGUGGAUAGCCUACCUAUAAGACUUGGAUAACUGCGGGAAACCGGAGCUAAUACCGUAUAAUAUGUUGAACCGCAUGGUUCAAGAGUGAAAGACUGUCUUGCUGUCACUUAUAGAUGGAUCCGCGCUGCAUUAGCUAGUUUGUAAGGUAACGGCUUACCAAGGCAACGAUGCAUAGCCGACCUGAGAGGGUGAUCGGCCACACUGGAACUGAGACACGGUCCAGACGCCUAAGGGAGGCAGCAGUAGGGAAUCUUCCGCAAUGGGCGAAAGCCUGACGGAGCAACGCCGCGUGAGUGAUGAAGGUCUUCGGAUAGUAAAACUCUGUUAUUAGGGAAGAACAUAUGUGUAAGUAACUGUGCACAUCUUGACGGUACCUAAUCAGAAAGCCACGGCUAACUACGUG
RNAcentral lists this ribosomal RNA (497 nucleotides) under uncultured bacterium. Its description in RNAcentral is "partial 16S ribosomal RNA". It matches the Rfam family "Bacterial small subunit ribosomal RNA", at positions 28 to 507 of the family's 1533-position model. The record is from RNAcentral.